This 253-nucleotide ribosomal RNA is filed under the name uncultured bacterium. Its description in RNAcentral is "partial 16S ribosomal RNA". It matches the Rfam family "Bacterial small subunit ribosomal RNA", at positions 524 to 776 of the family's 1533-position model. The record is from RNAcentral.
UACGAAGGGUGCAAGCGUUAAUCGGAAUUACUGGGCGUAAAGCGCGCGUAGGUGGUUCAGCAAGUUGAAGGUGAAAUCCCCGGGCUCAACCUCGGAACUGCCUUCGAUACUGCGGGUCUCGAGUCCGGGAGAGGUGAGUGGAAUUCCUAGUGUAGAGGUGAAAUUCGUAGAUAUUAGGAAGAACACCAGUGGCGAAGGCGGCUCACUGGCUCGGUACUGACGCUGAGGCGCGAAAGCGUGGGGAGCAAACAGG